CGGCGAGUGAAAGGGGAGAAGCUCAGCGUGUAGCCUCGGGGAUGCCCUCCAAGUGAGUGUGUUAAUCCUACGAUGGGAUGCCACGUAUGGGAGAAUGCUAGAAGAGUCCGCGACCCGGCAAUCCGAACUGUUUGAUGAAACAUUGCCCAUAGAGGGUGUUAGGCCCGUAGGACCGUCGUUUCGUCGUGACUUUUCGCGGCAUUCUCUCGAGAGUCGGGUUGUUUGAGAAUACAGCCUUAAGAGGUGGGAAACUCCAUCUAAAGCUAAAUAUUACUGCGAGACCGAUAGCGAACAAGUACCGUGAGGGAAAGUUGAAAAGGACUCUGAAGAGAGGGUUCAAGAGAGCGUGAAACUGCCGCGGGGAUAAAGCGGAUACAUUAGCGUAGUCGAAAAGGGAGAUACAACUCGUUGGCCGUCGACCUCCCGAAUCUGAUCGUCCGUUCGGAAUUAUAUUACUUCAACGUUUUGUAGUUCCGAUCGGCGUCGGCCGGAGUUAAGAGUACGUUCACUAACGAGUCUAUUUCACACCUGAGUAGGCCGUCGCGACGGUCGCGAAAGUUGUCUAAGGCUGAGAAGGUCGCGGGAACCUUUCGUCGCGUUAUCGGAGCUUCGGCUCCUUUACCGCCGACGAUGGGGGACGCUUCUAUGGAAUUUACUGACGGACUUUUCGACCGGAGAAACGAACGUCGUCCCAGCAUACUCUUAAGUGGGUAGUUGAACGACGUGAGUGCGGCGCUUAUAGCGAACAAUUUAUCCGUCCCGUCUUGAAACACGGACCAAGGAGUCUAACAUGUACGCGAGUCAAAGGGCCUACUAAACCCCUAGGCGUAAUGAAAGUAAACUUAGGAUCGAUCCGUGCUCUGGGGGUGGCCGUUUCGGCGGACAGCCCCAGACCGGCGCAAAUCCGGGACCCGUCUUACUGCUUUUCUUCGGAGAAGUUCAUGUGGCGGGUACCUAGAGCGUACACGUUGGUACCCGAAAGAUGGUGAUCUAUGCUUGGCCGGGAUGAAG
This 1011-nucleotide ribosomal RNA is filed under the name Munnopsis abyssalis. RNAcentral describes it as "eukaryotic LSU rRNA". It matches the Rfam family "Eukaryotic large subunit ribosomal RNA", at positions 87 to 851 of the family's 3401-position model. The record is from RNAcentral. Lineage: Eukaryota; Metazoa; Arthropoda; Malacostraca; Isopoda; Munnopsidae.